Molecule: ribosomal RNA, 311 nt
Filed under: uncultured bacterium
Lineage: Bacteria
Description: bacterial SSU rRNA
Rfam family: Bacterial small subunit ribosomal RNA
Source: RNAcentral
CCUGAACGCUGGCGGCGUGGCUAAGACAUGCAAGUCGAACGGAUGUAGCAAUACAUCAGUGGCGGACGGGUGAGUAAUGUAUCGCUAAUGUGCCCUAGAGCCUGGGAUAGCCAUCCGAAAGGGUGGUAAUACCAGAUGAAAUAACUUUGUCGCAUGGCAAAGUUCUCAAAGCAGCAAUGCACUCCUGGAGCAGGCGAUACGUAUCAGCUAGUUGGUGAGGUAACGGCUCACCAAGGCGACGACGCGUAGCCGGGCUGAGAGGUUGACCGGCCACAUUGGGACUGAGACACUGCCCAGACUCCGUACGGGGG